UGGGGAAUAUUGGACAAUGGGCGCAAGCCUGAUCCAGCGAUGCCGCGUGUGUGAAGAAGGCCUUAGGGUUGUAAAGCACUUUAAUGAGGGAGGAUUAGGAUGCGUUGAAUAGACGUGUCUGAGGACGUUACCUCAAGAAUAAGCACCGGCUAACUCUGUGCCAGCAGCCGCGGUAAUACAGAGGGUGCGAGCGUUAAUCGGAAUUACUGGGCGUAAAGCGUGCGUAGAUGGCCGAUUAAGUCGGAUGUGAAAGCCCCGGGCUCAACCUGGGAACGGCAUCCGAUACUGGUGGGCUAGAGUGCGGUAGAGGAGAGCGGAAUUCCCGGUGUAGCGGUGAAAUGCGUAGAGAUCGGGAGGAACAUCCGUGGCGAAGGCGGCUCUCUGGACCAGCACUGACGUUGAGGCACGAAAGCGUGGGGAGCAAACAGGAUUAGAUACCCCCGUAGUCCCUGAGCGGGCUGGCAAGGCGCAU
Molecule: ribosomal RNA, 472 nt
Filed under: uncultured bacterium
Lineage: Bacteria
Description: bacterial SSU rRNA
Rfam family: Bacterial small subunit ribosomal RNA
Source: RNAcentral